AUCUAGCUGAUGAGUCCCAAAUAGGAGGAAACGUGCGUCCUGGAU
RNAcentral lists this non-coding RNA (45 nucleotides) under Schistosoma haematobium. Lineage: Eukaryota; Metazoa; Platyhelminthes; Trematoda; Strigeidida; Schistosomatidae. The record is from RNAcentral.